RNAcentral lists this ribosomal RNA (425 nucleotides) under Dendropsophus cf. minutus ABGD cluster 57. RNAcentral describes it as "partial large subunit ribosomal RNA". It matches the Rfam family "Bacterial large subunit ribosomal RNA", at positions 1834 to 2457 of the family's 2925-position model. Lineage: Eukaryota; Metazoa; Chordata; Amphibia; Anura; Hylidae. The record is from RNAcentral.
CUUGAAACCAUAUAAGAGGUCCAGCCUGCCCAGUGACUAAGUUCAACGGCCGCGGUAUCCUAACCGUGCGAAGGUAGCGUAAUCACUUGUUCUUUAAAUGAGGACUAGUAUGAAUGGCACCACGAGGGUUAUACUGUCUCCUUUCUCUAAUCAAUGAAACUGAUCUCCCCGUGAAGAAGCGGGGAUAAAUUUAUAAGACGAGAAGACCCUAUGGAGCUUUAAACUACGUGACACUGGCUUAUAUUCUACUGUGUUUCAGAAUUAUUACAAUUAUACUAGCUAGUAUGAUUACUAGUUUUAGGUUGGGGUGACCACGGAGCAAAAAUUAACCUCCAUGAUGAACGGAACCUAUUCCUGAGCUAAAAGCUACAACUUUAAGCACUAACAAAUUAACAUUAAUUGACCCAAAAUAUUGAUCAACGAAC